AGGUCAAUUUGGGAUGGGGAUUAUUGCACUUAAUUCACAAAUUCCAUGCCUUGCUCAACUGAAAAGAGUAAAUAAUCAGUGAGAUCCAAUUGUGUUUUCUAUUCUUCAUUCCCUGUGUCCAUUACAUUUAAGUUGAUACCAGAUCCACUAAGUUGAAUGUGAACUCUACUUCUUCUCCCCUCCCAGCCAUCCCUGGACACACAAGGCUAACAUCCACCAUGACCCGGGCAGAGAGAGAGAGGGAGAAGAGGAAGGAGCUGCUGAAGGCUGAGGAGAGAAGGAAGAAGAUGGAGGAUUUCAAUAAGCAGUGGAGAGAGCGGUCCCUGCUUAAAAAACAGACUCAUCAACAACUGAAGGAGGAGAGGGAGAGGAUGAAGGAAAACUACCUGGAGCAGAUGAAUCUGGAGGCUGAUGCUCAAAUCAACACCCGGUGUCUAACCACCCAACACAGCCACGAUUACAACCACGGUCAGGAGUUGCCCGGGUGGGCCAAUGGCCAACAAGUAAGCCAAGAGCCCACUGGAUCUGCUGAUGGCCACCAGGAAAGGCCAAGGAGGCAACAGGCAUGGGCAGAGAACCAGGAGGGGAGUUCAGAGAACCAGCAGGAGGGGCCAGAGAACCAUCAGGGGGGGCCAGACAGCCAGCAGCUAGAAGCUCCAGAAGAGGCUGAAACAUCAGAGCGAAUAUCCAAGACAAAGAAAAAGCCAAGCAUCUGGAAGAAAAUUAGGAUGAGUCAACAAGUGAUGAGCCAGAUCAACCAAUCAACGUCACUGCAGCUGUUCUACCCACCACCCCCACUGCUCUUCCUCCACCACCAACCUCAUCCUCUUCUCCUGUUCAACUCAUUUGUCGCCCCACUAGAAAGGACUGUACAUACAAUUGAAGUCGGAAGUUUAAAUACACUUAGGUCGUUAAAACUAAUUUUUCAACCACUCCACAAAUUUCUUGUUAACAAACUAUAG
RNAcentral lists this long non-coding RNA (962 nucleotides) under Oncorhynchus mykiss (rainbow trout). RNAcentral's name for it is "lncRNA (ENSOMYG00000058765.1)". The record is from RNAcentral. Lineage: Eukaryota; Metazoa; Chordata; Actinopteri; Salmoniformes; Salmonidae.